GACAGAGGUGCCAAGCGUUAGGCGGAAUCACUGGGCUUAAAGCGUGUGUAGGCGGGUGCCUAAGUACCUUGUGAAAUCCCACGGCUCAACCGUGGAACUGCUGGGUAUACUGGGUGCCUUGGGUCAUCUAGGGGCUGCCGGAACAAAUGGUGGAGCGGUGAAAUGCGUAGAUAUCAUUUGGAACGCCACGGCGAAAGCAGGCAGCUGGGGGAUGCACCGACGCUGAGACACGAAAGCCAGGGGAGCGAACGGG
RNAcentral lists this ribosomal RNA (253 nucleotides) under uncultured bacterium. RNAcentral's name for it is "partial 16S ribosomal RNA". It matches the Rfam family "Bacterial small subunit ribosomal RNA", at positions 524 to 776 of the family's 1533-position model. The record is from RNAcentral.